GAUGAACGUUGGCGGUGUGCCUAAUACAUGCAAGUCGAACGGAGAUUGUAGCAAUACAAAUCUUAGUGGCGAACGGGUGAGUAACGCGUUGGUGAUCUGCCUCGAAGUGUGGAAUAACCUCCCGAAAGGGAAGCUAAUACCGCAUGGUCUCUCAAGGUUUAGAAAAUUGAGAGUAAAGGAUUUAUUCGCUUCGAGAGGAGCCUGCGUCCCAUCAGCUCGUUGGUAGGGUAACGGCCUACCAAGGCUAUGACGGGUAGGGGACCUGAGAGGGUGGCCCCCCACAAUGGAACUGAAACACGGUCCAUACACCUACGGGUGGCAGCAGUAGGGAAUAUUAGAAAUGGGCGGAAGCCUGAUCUAGCAACACCGCGUGUGCGAUGAAGGCCUUCGGGUCGUAAAGCACUUUUUGGAGGGAAUAGGAAGGAAGGUACCUACCAGAAUAAGUCUCGGCUAACUACGUG
This 461-nucleotide ribosomal RNA is filed under the name uncultured bacterium. RNAcentral describes it as "bacterial SSU rRNA". It matches the Rfam family "Bacterial small subunit ribosomal RNA", at positions 28 to 507 of the family's 1533-position model. The record is from RNAcentral.